This 20-nucleotide small nuclear RNA is filed under the name Arabidopsis thaliana (thale cress). RNAcentral describes it as "snRNA_12705". The record is from RNAcentral. Lineage: Eukaryota; Viridiplantae; Streptophyta; Magnoliopsida; Brassicales; Brassicaceae.
AGAACGUAACGGUAGAAGAC